RNAcentral lists this long non-coding RNA (10269 nucleotides) under Mytilus galloprovincialis (Mediterranean mussel). The record is from RNAcentral. Lineage: Eukaryota; Metazoa; Mollusca; Bivalvia; Mytilida; Mytilidae.
AGGUGAACUCCAUUGUACUUAUUAUUCAGUUGUGAGAAAAUCUCCAGUAAUGAGGUAAGAAAGUUUCUCUUCCACUGAUAUAUAGAUUUAUCUCUUUGCCAUAAAGUGGAUUUUGCUUUGCUGUCAGUUAUAAGACAUAAGAAUCUUUUUUCAAUAUUGACUAUUCUUCUUUCUUCAUUAUAUAUUAUGCUUUGUGGAAAUUGUUUUGGACAACCAACAAUAAAGUACUCCGCUAUGACAUAGCCAAAUAUCGCUGAAAAUGGUAUUUAAAAACAAAUUAAUUAUUUAACCAUUAUAUUUUACUCUUUUUCUCUAAAGUCAUACGAAACCGCAAAUUAAUAAAAAAAAAAAAUGAUGCAUAGUUUUUUUUUAUAACUAAAUGAAUAGUAUUCAUUUUAAAACUGUUGUACAUGUACUUUUUUUUGAGAAAAUUCUUUCAUAUGUCCACAUUUAGGAGAAAUUUACUUUUUUUAAUUGCUUGCACCAGGAAGCAAUUCGCUGAAAUAUUUUCCGUAUGCAAGUGACCUAAUCGUGACCCUUUUCGUAAAAAUCCGGUGAUCGCAAUACGCAUGGAUCUGUCAUUGAAUUAACUAUUUUCUGAUUGAACAUGCUAUUCACGUGCUCAAUGUCCAUGCAUCAUUGUUGAUUGUUUACUAAAAGGUGACAAUCGGUAAUUUACUGCUUCAAACACGGCAAUUAAUAAGCUGCCAUACUUGUUAAAUCAUAACAGACCGAGACAAAAAAAAAAUGAAGAUUUUACGAUAUUUUUGCAUUAGAAAUGAUAAAAUAGUGCACAUAAGACUAGGUUUAUGAUAUAUACAUGCAUUGGUUUAAGAAUUGGAUCAACAUUUUUUUUCACCAGUCACUCGUUUCAUAUGACUUUAACUAGGCUACUUAAAUUUUCCUACACACAAAAAAAAUUCGACAUAAAAUGGUCAAACAAAAUACCCAAACGAAAAGAAGAGAACAAUCUUCUGUAUAUAAUGAGAUUUGUGACAGAUGCAAUGUUUUAAAUACAAUUAUGUUAUAUAUGAAAGGAUGACCAUGCAAAAAUAUAAUCAUUAAUCACCUUCUUCUUGGGUUAAAAAUGCAUAAAAUUUAAUCAAAACCCUAAGGUACUGACAAGAUAACUAAAUCUUCAAAAGUUUAUCACUACUUUUUAUAUACACAAAAUAUAGUCCAGUGAUCAUACCAUCUUAACCAUAUUAAACCUUUCAAGAAAUUUAGCAAUGAAAUAUCUCACUUUAUCUGCUGAGAUAUUCUAGUUACAAAUGAUGUUAUAUUUGUCAGGAAAAAUUGCUUAACUUUUGCAAGGUGCAGGAAUCUAAUAUAUGUUAUUAAAAUAUCAUUGAUGUCAUUGUUAAAGUCAUAUUUAAAAAUUGGAGUUAUCUUCAUUUGUCGAAAUUGUAGUUGAAUGAACAACACAAUGCAGUAUUUAAUUUUACUUCCACUGGUAAUUAGACAAUAUUUACCCUUCAGUGCUUACAAGCUCUUUGAUUAUGUACUCUUAUCUAGUUUUAUCUUCCAACAGAUGCUUCAAUGAAAAUGAUAGUUUUGAAAUUCCACUUCUGUCCACUUUUGUCAAUUUUACUUCAGUAAAUAGGUUGAGAGGUUAAGCUAGCUUGCAAAACAGGAAUAAUCCACCAUUUUCUUUAUAAGAAAAUGCCUCUACUAAGUCAGGAAUAUGACAGUUGUUAUCCUUUUAUUUGAUGUGUUUGAGCAUUUGAUUAGGGACUUUCUGAUUUUCCUCGGAGUUCAGUAUUUUUGUAUUUUUUUACUUUUUGGUCUGUUUUUGCACUGCUCCUUUGGAAUGGUUGCUUUGGCUACAUUUUAUUUAAUCUUUUUUGACCUACAAUUGUAGAUCUGAGGUGGUAGAAAACAGAAAAGUUGAGUCUUUACUUCAAGAUAUUAGUCGCCCAUCAGGACUAUCCAUUUAUCAUGGUAUGUAUAAAGAAGAUGUAGUAUGAUAGCCAAUGAGACAUCUCUCCACACGAGAACAAAUGACACAGAAAUUAAAAACUAUGGUUCACCAUACGGCCUUUAACAAUGAGCAAAGCCCGUAAAUGCAUAGUGAGCUAUACAAUUAAAGGUCCUGAAAUGACAAAUGUAAAACAACGGGAAAAACUAACGACCUAGUUUAUAAACAGACAAUGCAUACAAGAAAAGUAACAACCUUAUUUAUAUGGUACACCAAAUUUCAAAAUACCAUUUUCUUUCAUAUGUAACUGGCUGUUGCAGAAACCAGUCACAUGAUCAAUGAUUGCAUGUUUUUUUUUACAAUUCUUUGAGGGUUUAGAACUUCGUAAAGAUAUGAAUGAAAAAUGUCCAUAUCUGUGAAAAAAGUAUAAAAAACAUGCUUUAAGAAUUAGUAAAGUAUGUUAAAAAUCAUGACUGUACCAAAACACAUUGGUUAUUGAUCAAGCUGAUGAUAAUAUGGGAAAUUAUGACAACUAUGUCAAAUAUAAAAAUAAGGAGAUGUGGUAUGAUUUCACUGCAUUUCACUGCAGACUAAACGAUAUGGAAAUAAGAAAAAAAUCGUGCAAUUUAUAAACUAUCACAGGAUUAAACUUGAAAAAAGGUAAAACCAUUCAAAGUAGAAAAUUAAAGAAAAACACUGCCCAUUCUAUAUUUAUCAUGCCCACUCACAAAAGCAUCUGUAAAUAGAAACUAUUUUAUCCCUCUGUUUGUUCAUUCUUCAACUGUUCCAUAACAAGAAUCUAGAUUUUCUUGAAAUUAUCAAUUUUUGGGAAACUUCAGACAUUUAACUUGCUUUUGCUAGUAUAGAAUAUUUUUCAUUAGUCCGGGCGAUCGGUGAAAAAAUUGCUCAAAUAAUGAGGAAAGCACCAUUUUUUAUACGACCACAAAAAUUGAAAUUUUUUUGUUAUACGACCGCAAAAAAAUUGAAAUUUUUUUGUUAUACGACCGCAAAAAUUGAAUUUUUUUUGGUUGUAUAUUGGUAUCACGUUGGCGUCGUAGUCGUCGUCGUCCGAAUACUUUUAGUUUUUGCACUCUAACUUUAGUUUCAGUAAAUAGAAAUCUAUGAAAUUUUGACACAUGGUUUAUGACCACAAAAGGAAGAUUGGGAUUGAUUUUGGGAGUUUUGGUUUCAACAGUUUAGGAAUUAGUAGCCAAAAAAGGGCCCAAAUAAGCAUUUUCUUGGUUUUCGCACAAUAACUUUGGUAUAAGUAAAUAAAAAUCAAUGAAAUUUAAACACAAGGUUUAUGACCACAAAAGGAAUGUUGGGAUUGAUGUUGGGAGUUGAGGUCCCAACAGUUUAGGAAAAAGGGGCAAAAAAGGGGCCCAAAUAAGCAUUGUUCUUGGUUUUCGCACCAUAACUUUAGUAUGAGUAAAUAGAAAUCUAUGAAAUUUAAACACGAAGUUUAUGACCAUAAAAGGAAGGUUGGGUUUGAUCUUGGUAGUUUUGGUUCCAACAGUUCAGGAAUAAGGGGAUCAAAGGGUCUUAAAUUGAACUUUGUUUGAUUUCAUCAAAAAUUAAAUAAUUGGGGUUUUUUGAUAUGCUGAAUCUAACUCUGUAUGUAGAUUCUUAGUUUUCGGUCCCGUUUUCAAAUUGGUCUACAUUAAGGUCCAAAGGGUCCAAAAUUUAACUUAGUUUGAUUUUAACAAAAAUUGAAUCCUUGGUGUUCUUUGAUAUGCUGAAUCUAAAAAUGUACUUAGAUUUUUGAUUAUUGGCCCAGUUUUUAAGUUGGUCCAAAUCGGGGUCCAAAAUUAAACUUUGUUUGAAUCCAUCAAAAAUUGAAUAAUUUGGGGUUCUUUGAUAUGCCAACUCUAACUGUGUAUGUAGAUGCUUUAUUUUUGGUCCCGUUUUGAAAUUUGUCUACAUUAAAGUCCAAAGGGUCCAAAUAUUAUUAUAUUAAGUAUUGUGCAAUAGCAAGAAAUUUUCAAUUGCACAUUCUUCGGCAAUAGCAAGAAAUCUUCAAUUGCACAGUAUUGUGCAAUAGGAAAAUUUUUUCAUAUGCACAGUAUUGCGCAAUAGCAAGAAAUCUUCAAUUGCCAGUAUUGUGCAAUAGCAAAUAUUUUCAAUUGCACAGUAUUGUGCAAUAGCAAGAAAUAUCUAAUUGCACAAUAGUGUGCAAUAGCAAGAAAUGUUCAAUUGGAGUUAUCUUUCUUUGUCCAGAAUAGUAGUUGAAUCAACUUAAAUCAUUGUUUUAUACAAUAUCAAUGUAUAUGCUUUUACUACCACUGAUAAAUUAAAACAAUCUUUACCAUUCAGUGAUAAAAGCACUUUAUUUUACAUUUUAAUAUAAUGAUGUAUUUAAAUAGUUGUUAUUGUUGCAACUCCAUUAGAAAUUUUUAAUUGAGAUCAGUUUAUGGAAAAAGGGAAAGGGGGAUGUGAAAAAAAAGGUGGGUUAAAUUUUUCUCAUUUCAGUUUCAAAAUAAAAAAAAAAAAUUCUUCAAACAUUUUUUGGAGAGGAUUAAUAUUCAACAGCAUAGUGAAUUGUCAAAGGCAAUAUUUUAAGUUCAUUAGACCACAUUCAUUCUGUGUCAGAAACCUAUGCUGUGUCAACUAUUUAAUCACAAUCCAAAUUUAGAGCUGAAUCUAGCUUGAAUGUUGUGUCUAUACUUGCCACAACCGUUCAUGGUUCAACCUCUGCGGUCGUAAAAAGCUGCGCCCUGUGGAGGAUCUGGUUGCAUGAUGGUACAUUUUUGUGUACUGAGCAAUAUCUAUGGACCCCCCUCAAAAUUUCAAUAUGGCGGCUUAUUUCAAGAUGGCUGCCGUACGUUCUAAAAUAUUUUCCAGUAUUGCACAAACCACAGUGGAUUUGAUGUUGGAAGCAAAAAAUCAACAUAUUUGAAUGACUUGGUGUACUUAGCAAGAUUUUGUUUUGAUCUGUCUUCGAAAUACAAAAUGGCGGCUAUUUUCAAAAUGGUCUCCUUGAAAAAUAAGCAAAUAUUCAUUAUUGAGAACUGACCUGAAUAUAAGCAUUUUAUUGAUGUAUAGUGUCAUUAAGUAUCUGUCCCAGUUCUGUCCUUUUUGAUUUUGCUUUGCUUGUCAUUCAUUCACAAAGUAGUAGCUUUCAUAACAAGCUGCAGUAGUAGCUUUCAUAACAAGCUGUAGUAGUAGCUUUCAUAAGAAGCUGAACUAUUUGUAGUCUUGGGUCACACAUAAAAGCUGUGAUUUGGGAUUUAUCUGCCAUAAGAUAUUAUCCAGUGCCUAUUUUAUUUCUUGGGUCGCAAUAUUUUGGAGAAACCCACAGCUGAAGACGCUUUAACAGAAGACAGUUCAGAAAUGACUAUUAAGGUUUACCUAACACUUUCACUAAAAUAUAUUUGGCUCGUUAAAUUUUGAUAACAUUUUGACAAAGUAUUUACUUUGACCCUUGAACAAAAAUAUAAAAAUUUCAAAAAUUUUGAACCAACCGAUUUGUCAGAAAAAUUACACUGGUUAUAUUGCAGUUUGACAAACACCAAUUUUGAUCUUUGUGAAGCUUAUUAUUCCCUUUACAACACAACGUAAUUAAAACGUUUAGCUGACUUUACAGAGUUAUCUCCCUGUAGUGUUAGGUACCACCAUAAACAAUCGUACCAAGAAUUUUUAGCAGAUAAAAAAAUUAAUGAUGAAAGAACAGCUGAGAUUCACCGCAAUAUAUAACAGAGCGAAGCGCGAAUUGAGAAAAUAUGUGUUGGUCUCAUUUCGUUUCAUGCUGAAUAGAAAGUUGCUAUGAAUAUUAAUAACGAACAGAUGAGAGUAAUAUCCCAGCAACUUUAGCAGUCUGAAGACAGGAAAUACCACAAGGCUAGUAAUAAUUGCUUAACGGAAUUGAUGGUCAGACCAAUUAGAAAUUUUUAAUGUUGUUGUGAGACGAAUGGACAAGCUGACAACAACCGAAGAAGGAGACACAGUUCAAUAUCUUAUUGCAUUUAAACAGCAGGGUACCUUCCAACAACUGGCAUCUGUUGUAAAUGAAUAAGUGGACAAUCGAAAUAAAGAAGUUAAAAUUCCUGCAAUGGCCACAUCAUCUAAGCCAAAAUUUGACCUUAGCCAGUACAACGCAAAAGUACCAACAGUACACAAAACAACAAAAUCCAUGCCUUGGGUCUUUCCCCAAUUGUCGUUCGCGUGAACCAUUAACCGCGCCAACUCUGUUGAAGGUGUCUUCACCUUAAGUCAAAAGUCCUAUGUUAGGCCCCUGGCCCUGCAUGAGACAGUUCAAAUUAUUCAACAACAAUCUCAAUUUAAGAACAUACUAUAAACCUCUAGUACUAAUCAAGGAUCUUAUGUGUCUUCUUACGCACUCUUACCAUCUACUAUGAGUCAAUAAUAUUUGGUUCAGAGCAGAACACCAUUACAGAAACAAGUGGCUGCAAAUGGAUUCUAUCAAGUUUCUCCAAUGCUGAAUGCAGUGCCUACUUACGGUAUCAUCCCCGUCGAGUCAAUGGUAAAUCUCACAUUUAUCACUCCAAUUAUGACAACCUCAUCAGCUCCUGGAGCUCUAACAGGCUUCCCAUAACAGCAAGCUGACUCUACUGACCGAUCCAGGAAAGGGCAUAGAAAACCAAAAGAGUGGGACAACACCUCUUCUUCAGACUCCUCAUUGGAGAGAGAAUAUACCCGAUGGCAAGAACAUUUUGGUGCAAGGGACCGGAGCCCCCUACUCAAUUGAACAGGAUCCAUGACUUGGGAGGCUUUCAUUUACCAAUUUGAACGAACUGCCGGUAGAUGACAAUGGGAAACAGGAAAACUGUGUGUAAGCACCAGAUUGCUAGGCAUGUUGGCUUUGAGUACGCUCGCAAGGUAAAUACAGAUGAUGAUUCAAAGGCUUUAAGAAGGCAUUCAUUUGGAGCAGCGCUUCAGCAAGAAAGAAGAUCAAACCAGAUUGGAACCGGAACAUUCCGUAGAGGAUGUAAAGACAAAGAUUCUUUAAGGCAUGUUAUAGAGAGAAACCCAGAAGCAUCCAACAAGGCGUUAAAACAAUUGACAACCUUAAUAGCAAACCAGAUGGCGAUAUAUGGAUCAAAAAGUGCCAAUUAUGACCAUCGACAAGUCUACUUUCCUCAUGGUAGAGUAUCACCGACCGUUUAAGGACAUAUGCGCAGUCCUUUGGAUAAUGAGAUGCAUAACCUUACACAAAUUGUCACAAAACUAGCUGAUGUUAUGCUUUCAACUACUAAAUAAUCAGCAUAGCCGUGAAUUGGCCGAUCAAUAUAACCUCGGUUCUUCUGAUCAAACAAUCAUGGAAGAUCACUUGAUCAAUAUACACUCCGAAGAUCUCUUGAGCAAUACAAUUGCGGUAGAUCGCCAGAUAGAAAUACACCCAAGCUUAAUGCCUAUCGAUCAGCAACACCACCCCCCUAAGCUAGAGAUCACAUAGUCCCUAAAAACGGUUAGCAUCUCCAUGGACAAACUCCAGAAAUCCCGGUUAUUUCAGACAACGUUCACCUUCACCAAGAUACGGAGCAAAUCAAAGUGCAACCCCAACAAUGGAGUCUUUUAACAGCAAAGAGUCGGGUCAGUAGGCCAACGCACGAUUCCAAACUUUAUUGGCCAUGAAACAUCACCUUAUCACAAAAUCGAACAGAGGCCCACGGCGUCGUCCAAUAUUGUCAUGAGACGAACCAUGUGAAAUAGCUUAGCAGUUCGAGGUACUAUACAUGACCAGUAUGUGAGCAUGAUUGUGGACAAUGCUGAAAUGAUAACAUUAGUAAAUGAGAAAGAAAUUCCGGCAGAAAAUGGAGAUAUGGAGAACGUAACGCUACGGGGUUUGGGUUAACAGCCUGUUAUUGGGAAGAAUAUAAAGAAUGACUCUCGACAUUAAUAGAGUAAACAUGCAAAGGGAUGUGUGCAAAGAGCCAUUAACAGACGAUGUUAAAUUUAGGCUAGAUAUUUUGGACACACUGAGCGCAGUACUCCCACAAUUACCAUCAACAAUAAAGUGAUAAAUGCUGCAUUUGUUAACAGUGGGAACGAAAUUUCAACUCAGCAAGUUUGCAUAAAACGAACCAUCAAAGUUCAGCAAAAAAUGAUUGUUACCAUUAAAACUAAUAAAAGUGCUGACCUGGAGUGCAUUUUAGGACCAGGCUCGCUGAAUAGCUGCGAUUCGGUUUUGCACGUUGUCGGAAAAGGAAAUAGUUGCCCCUUAACCAUUUUAAAUGAUGGCAAUCGUCUAAUCCGCCUGAAGAAAGGUACACCUAUUUAUUACAUAGAAUAAUUUGACGAUGUAGUGGGUUCAGCAGAUGAAAUCGCGAUAAGUGACGUAAACCAUGGCAUUGAAGAGACACGAGACAAGGUGCCCUCGGCACUGCCUCAAAGUUCAGAUGAGUUACCUACUAUUCCACCACAUUUAACCGACCUAUAUUAACGUUCAAUCGACUCGUUUCAACCUAUUGCAAUCCAACAAUUAAAACUGCAAGCGUUUAAAGAACUAUUACAACAACAUGUAACAUAUUGAUUAACAUUUAAAAUUUCACUUUUUCUUUUUAUAUAUGCAGCCAAAUUUGAAAAUGUAUGUGCUAUAGAAAUAAUUAAAUUAUUGUUUUUAUUUUUUUUUUAAAUUAAUUGAUAACAAAUUCAAAAACAUGAAGUCGAUUUUUAAAGAAUUAUUACUUUAAUUUCCGAAAUUAUAUAGAAUACCCUCAGGACAAUCUUGAUAUUUAUACCGUUUUUACGCCAUCUUGAAAAUGGCAGCCAUAUUGGAUUUUUCAGAGUGGGUCUAUUGCUGACAUCAAAGGAUAUUUAAUCAAGAACUACUAUGCAAAGUUUCAUGCUUUCCUCAUCAAGUGAUCAAUUGUGCUCUAUAUCUGCACCAAUCGGCCGGACUAUAACAGACGAUGUUUAAUUUAGGCUAGAUAUUUUGGACACACUGAGCGCAGUGAUAAACCUCAGUACUCCCAUAAAUACCAUCAACAAUAAAGUGAUAAAUGCUGCAUCUGUUAACAGUGGAAACGAGAUUUCAACUCAGCAAGUUUGCAUAAAUCGAACCAUCACAGUUCCUCAAAACUAAAAAAAAAUGACUGUUACCAUUAAAACUAAUAAACGUGCACUUAAGGACCAGGCUCGCUGAAUAAUUGCGAUUCGGUUUUGCACGUUGUUGAAAAAGGAAAUAGUUGCCCCUUAACCAUUUUAAAUUAUGGUAAUCGUCUAAUCCGCCUGAAGAAAGGUACACCUAUUUAUUACAUAGAAUAAUUUGACGAUGUAGUGGGUUCAGCAGAUGAAAUCGCGAUAAGUGACGUAAGACAUGGCAUUGAAGAGACACGAGACAAGGUGCCCUCGGCACUGCCUCAAAGUUCAGAUGAGUUACCUACUAUUCGAACACAUUUAACCGACCUAUAUUAACGUUCAAUCGACUCGUUUCAACCUUUUGCAUUCCAACCAUUAAAACUGAAAGCGUGUAAAAAACAAUUACAACAACAUUCUUUUAAUUUAACUGAUAACAAAUUCAAAAACAUGAGGUCCAUUUUUAAAGAAUCAUUACUUUGAUUUCCGAAAUUAUAUAGAAUACCUUCAGGACAAUCUUGAUAUUUAGACCGUUUUUACGCCAUCUUGAAAAUGGCAGCCAUAUUGGAUUUUUUAGAGUGGGUCCAUAGCUGAAAUCAAAGGGUCUUUAACCAAGAACUACUAUGCAAAGUGUCAUGCUUUCCUCAUCAAGUGAGCAAUUGUGCUCUAUAUCUGCAUCAAUCGGCCGGACUACAUGUAUAAUGUGCUUUUAAGUUUCCUGUAUGAUAACUUUCCAGAUGAAAUACAUUAAAGAAUUAAACAGUCAUGACAGAAGUUUAAUAAUGUACAAAUUUCAAAUCUGUUGAGAAGGUACAAAUUAAGAUUAAAAAAUACUGAGGAAAUUGCUUGAACUCUGAAAAGGAGUAAGACAGUAUGCCUCAUUAUGGUUAAUUUCACCUGCCAUGCAAAUCAAGAUUUUAUAAACUACUGUACAUUACAAAAAAUAUUGUGAGGUUUUUAGUAAUGCAAAUAAUUUGACAACUUGAGUAUCGCAAUAAUAAGAAAUCACAUUCUGAUAUCAAAUACAUAUAUCUGUUUGUAGCUUUUCGUAAAAUUUCAGUGAUUUAACUUGUAAUUUUGUUAAUUCUUCAAACAUUGCAAUAAUAAAUGCACGGAAUAAAUUCUUAAUUCACAGUGUAUCAUUUUUUGUUUGAAAACAGAUAGACUCAUCAAUCAUAUAUGUGCUGUUAAUUUCAUGGAUGGUCCACUAUACUACAUACUUGUUUACUCAAGGGAGACAAUUUCAGAAUAAUGGAGUUGUUACUAAAAAUAGAUCCCAAUGAUACGAAUAAUAACCUUCAAAAUAGUUCAGGAUU